Molecule: long non-coding RNA, 659 nt
Organism: Tachyglossus aculeatus (Australian echidna)
Lineage: Eukaryota; Metazoa; Chordata; Mammalia; Monotremata; Tachyglossidae
Exons: 4
Source: RefSeq, a predicted model, not a curated record
AAGGGCUGGUCAAUGGGGAAGGGCAAGUUUCACCACCGCUGCUCUCAAAUCCAUUUCUUUUCUGACAGCGGGUGUUACUGAGGCUUAGAAACGGCAUUCCAUUUUCCGUUUACUUACUCUGUGAUUAAGCAGGGAGCGACCGGUCGUGAGAGGAUGUCGUUUCCUAACUCUUUUCGGGGUGAAAUGCUGGUUUGGUUUUUCUUUGAUUUCUGCACCAGCCGCCCACUGUAAUUUUCUCAUCCCUCCCCCCCGACUAUUGAUUUUUGAAAGUGUUUCCCCUCAGCCCACAUCAGUCUUCUCUGCAAGAAGCGUUUGAGGUCUUCCCGGGGGGGUGGAAAUAACACUGUUUUGCAGGGCGGGUAACGCGGUGAGAAGAGAGGACGCACGGCAUUGCAGCUCGAGCGUUGUGCUUCCGCAGAGGUCAAGGAAAUCCAAGAAGUUUCCCGCUUGACCCGCCCGGGAAAGGAGAGGACUUGGAACGAGAUCGGAUGGGGCAGGGAGGUCGAGAGGGAACACAACUCAAGUCCCCAGCUCUUGAAGGAUCUUUCACCUGGCUCUUGCACUGUCGAGGUCCCGCGGCCCUUGGGUUCUCAGGAGUGAAGGUGUAGAUGUUCAGGGUGUCGGCUCACUUCAGAGAUCGGAUGUGGAAUGUACUUGAG